UACGUAGGGGGCAAGCGUUGUCCGGAUUUAUUGGGCGUAAAAGGCUUGUAGGUGGCCACGCCAAGUCGGCUGUGAAAUCUCCCGGCUCAACUGGGAGGGGUCAUUCGAUACUGGCGGGCUCGAGGCCGGUAGGGGGAAGUGGAAUUCCCGGUGUAGUGGUGGAAUGCGUAGAUAUCGGGAGGAACACCAGUGGCGAAGGCGGCUUCCUGGACCGGUUCUGACACUGAGGAGCGAAAGCCAGGGGAGCAAACGGG
Molecule: ribosomal RNA, 254 nt
Filed under: uncultured bacterium
Lineage: Bacteria
Description: partial 16S ribosomal RNA
Rfam family: Bacterial small subunit ribosomal RNA
Source: RNAcentral